AACGCGAAGAACCUUACCUACCCUUGACAUGUACGGAAGCCACGAGAGAUCGAGGUGUGCUCGAAAGAGAACCGUAACACAGGUGCUGCAUGGCUGUCGUCAGCUCGUGUCGUGAGAUGUUGGGUUAAGUCCCGCAACGAGCGCAACCCUUGUCAUUAGUUGCUACGAAAGGGCACUCUAAUGAGUCUGCCGGUGACAAACCGGAGGAAGGUGGGGAUGACGUCAAGUCCUCAUGGCCCUUAUGGGUAGGGCUUCACACGUCAUACAAUGGUACAUACAGAGCGCCGCCAACCCGCGAGGGGGAGCUAAUCGCAGAAAGUGUAUCGUAGUCCGGAUUGUAGUCUGCAACUCGACUGCAUGAAGUUGGAAUCGCUAGUAAUCGCGGAUCAGCAUGUCGCGGUGAAUACGUUCCCGGGUC
Molecule: ribosomal RNA, 418 nt
Filed under: uncultured marine bacterium
Lineage: Bacteria
Description: bacterial SSU rRNA
Rfam family: Bacterial small subunit ribosomal RNA
Source: RNAcentral